RNAcentral lists this ribosomal RNA (373 nucleotides) under uncultured bacterium. Its description in RNAcentral is "bacterial SSU rRNA". It matches the Rfam family "Bacterial small subunit ribosomal RNA", at positions 527 to 898 of the family's 1533-position model. The record is from RNAcentral.
GUAGGAGCCUAGCGUUAUCCGAAUUUACUGGGCGUAAAGCGCAUGUAGGCGGCUGGGUAAGUUGGCUGUGAAAUCUCCCGGCUCAACUGGGAGAGGCCGGUCAAGACUGCCUGGCUGGAGGCUGGUAGAGGGAGGUGGAAUUCCCGGUGUAGUGGUGAAAUGCGUAGAUAUCGGGAGGAACACCAGUGGCGAAAGCGGCCUCCUGGACCAGACCUGACGCUCAGAUGCGAAAGCUAGGGGAGUGAACGGGAUUAGAAACCCCGGUAAUCCUAGCUGUAAACGAUGUCGACUUGGCGUCGGUGGGGUAAAAGCCAGCGGUGCCGGAGCUAACGCAGUAAGUCGACCGCCUGGGGACUACGGCCGCAAGGUUAAA